Molecule: ribosomal RNA, 253 nt
Filed under: uncultured bacterium
Lineage: Bacteria
Description: partial 16S ribosomal RNA
Rfam family: Bacterial small subunit ribosomal RNA
Source: RNAcentral
UACGGAGGGUGCAAGCGUUAUCCGGAUUCACUGGGUUUAAAGGGUGCGUAGGUGGGUUGGUAAGUCAGUGGUGAAAUCCCCGAGCUUAACUUGGGAACUGCCAUUGAUACUAUCAGUCUUGAAUACCGUGGAGGUCGGCGGAAUAUGUCAUGUAGCGGUGAAAUGCUUAGAUAUGACAUAGAACACCAAUUGCGAAGGCAGCUGGCUACACGAAUAUUGACACUGAGGCACGAAAGCGUGGGGAUCAAACAGG